This 571-nucleotide ribosomal RNA is filed under the name uncultured bacterium. Its description in RNAcentral is "partial 16S ribosomal RNA". It matches the Rfam family "Bacterial small subunit ribosomal RNA", at positions 355 to 914 of the family's 1533-position model. The record is from RNAcentral.
UGGGGAAUAUUGCACAAUGGGCGCAAGCCUGAUGCAGCCAUGCCGCGUGUGUGAAGAAGGCCUUCGGGUUGUAAAGCACUUUCAGCGAGGAGGAAGGUGGUGAACUUAAUACGUUCAUCAAUUGACGUUACUCGCAGAAGAAGCACCGGCUAACUCCGUGCCAGCAGCCGCGGUAAUACGGAGGGUGCAAGCGUUAAUCGGAAUUACUGGGCGUAAAGCGCACGCAGGCGGUUUGUUAAGUCAGAUGUGAAAUCCCCGGGCUCAACCUGGGAACUGCAUUUGAAACCGGCAAGCUAGAGUCUCGUAGAGGGGGGUAGAAUUCCAGGUGUAGCGGUGAAAUGCGUAGAGAUCUGGAGGAAUACCGGUGGCGAAGGCGGCCCCCCUGGACGAAGACUGACGCUCAGGUGCGAAAGCGUGGGGAGCAAAACAGGAUUAGAUACCCUGGUAGUCCACGCUGUAAACGAUGUCGAUUUUGGAGGUUGUGCCCCUUGAGGCGUGGCUUCCGGAGCUAACGCGUUAAAUCGACCGCCUGGGGAGUACGGCCGCAAGGUUAAAACUUAAAGGAAUUGAC